RNAcentral lists this ribosomal RNA (327 nucleotides) under Triticum aestivum (bread wheat). RNAcentral's name for it is "partial small subunit ribosomal RNA". The record is from RNAcentral. Lineage: Eukaryota; Viridiplantae; Streptophyta; Magnoliopsida; Poales; Poaceae.
AUGUUGACCCGGCCUGCCCCAUCAGCGAUGAACAUAAAGGAGCCAAAGGUUAGGCUCUCUCCUAGCGGAAGGUCGCCGGAAGCAAAAGAAUAUCCAAUCCAAGAUUGGUCCCCAGCCGACACCGCGAGUGACUGGUGCCAACUGAUGGUGCAAAAUCCUAUCAGAUCCCUCGGUAGGGGUCCAAGUGCAGCUGGAAGUCUUGGAUCAGAGAUCGCACACAUGGUUUAUCCAGGUUUGGGCCUCCGGAGAGUAAUAUCCUACAUCAUGCUUGUUUUCAUUAGUCAUGGUGGAUGGAUACCUCAUGCGAGGAGUUACAAUGGUGUAUGA